GAUGAACGCUAGCUACAGGCUUAACACAUGCAAGUCGAGGGGCAGCACAGUGUAGCAAUACAUGGGUGGCGACCGGCGCACGGGUGCGUAACGCGUAUCCAACCUUCCCGUUACUCUUGGAUAGCCUUCCGAAAGGGAGAUUAAUACAAGAUGGUAUUCAAAUUCCGCAUGUUAUUUGAAUUAAAGAUUUAUCGGUAACGGAUGGGGAUGCGUGACAUUAGAUAGUAGGCGGGGUAACGGCCCACCUAGUCUACGAUGUCUAGGGGUUCUGAGAGGAAGGUCCCCCACACUGGAACUGAGACACGGUCCAG
Molecule: ribosomal RNA, 311 nt
Filed under: uncultured bacterium
Lineage: Bacteria
Description: bacterial SSU rRNA
Rfam family: Bacterial small subunit ribosomal RNA
Source: RNAcentral